UACGAAGGGGGCUAGCGUUGCUCGGAAUUACUGGGCGUAAAGGGCGCGUAGGCGCGACUGUUAGUCAGGCGUGAAAGUCCUGGGCUCAACCUGGGACUGCGCUUGAUACGGCAGAGCUAGAGGAUGGAAAGAGGCUCGCGGAAUCCCAGUGUAGAGGUGAAAUUCGUAGAUAUUGGGAAGAACACCGGUGGCGAGGCGGCGAGCUGGUCCAUUACUGACGCUGAGGCGCGACAGCGUGGGGAGCAAACAGGAUUAGAAAACCCGGGGUAGCCA
This 273-nucleotide ribosomal RNA is filed under the name uncultured bacterium. RNAcentral's name for it is "partial 16S ribosomal RNA". It matches the Rfam family "Bacterial small subunit ribosomal RNA", at positions 524 to 796 of the family's 1533-position model. The record is from RNAcentral.